This is a non-coding RNA of Capsicum annuum, 107 nucleotides long. NCBI's taxonomy places the organism in Eukaryota, Viridiplantae, Streptophyta, Magnoliopsida, Solanales, Solanaceae. The record is from Rfam.
UAAUGAUGGAGAGGGAAGUUUUUGAGCACACUCUUAAAUCUCUCCCAACCUUAGUAGAGAUUCUCUUCUUCUUUCUAUCUAAAACUCAGAAUCUCACUUCUCAAACG